GUCCACGCCGUAAACGAUGGGCACUAGGUGUCGGGGGUAUCCACUCCCUCGGUGCCGCCGCUAACGCAUUAAGUGUCCCGCCUGGGAAGUACGGUCGCAAGAUUAAAACUCAAAGGAAUUGACGGGGGCCCGCACAAGCGGUGGAGCAUGUGGUUCAAUUCGAUGCAACGCGAAGAACCUUACCUGGGUUUGACAUCUGGCGAAUCUCGGCGAAAGCCGAGAGUGCCCGCAAGGGAGCGCCAAGACAGGUGCUGCAUGGCUGUCGU
RNAcentral lists this ribosomal RNA (266 nucleotides) under uncultured bacterium. RNAcentral describes it as "partial 16S ribosomal RNA". It matches the Rfam family "Bacterial small subunit ribosomal RNA", at positions 793 to 1055 of the family's 1533-position model. The record is from RNAcentral.